Leptinotarsa decemlineata (Colorado potato beetle) is the source of this 338-nucleotide long non-coding RNA. The record is from RefSeq and is a predicted model, not a curated record. NCBI's taxonomy places the organism in Eukaryota, Metazoa, Arthropoda, Insecta, Coleoptera, Chrysomelidae.
AAUUCCAAACCAGAAAUUUGUUAUUCGAUAGUGCAUUUAACAGCAUCACCAAAAUGUUCCAAAUGAGAUUAAUUGUGUUAGUUUUCUCGUUGAUCUGUGUUUUUCAUGAGGGCACAGCAUUUUCAAAAUCUGACUGCGAGUUGCCUGUACAAAUACCAGGACCAGACGGAGACAUAUGUCUGGCCGAAAUUCCAGUUUUUACCUGGAGUAAUUUGGAAAAAAAAUGUGUACCGGAUUCCUUUGGAGGAUGUCACGAAACCAACAACAUGUUCCGUACAGAGGAAGACUGUGAAAAAAUUGCCAAACCCAUUUGUCUGCAAUAAACACAUGAACAAAUA